RNAcentral lists this ribosomal RNA (431 nucleotides) under uncultured bacterium. RNAcentral's name for it is "partial 16S ribosomal RNA". It matches the Rfam family "Bacterial small subunit ribosomal RNA", at positions 338 to 795 of the family's 1533-position model. The record is from RNAcentral.
CCUACGGGUGGCAGCAGUGGGGAAUAUUGCGCAAUGGGCGAAAGCCUGACGCAGCGACGCCGCGUGGGGGAUGAAGGCCUUCGGGUUGUAAACCCCUUUCGGCAGGGACGCGGUACCUGCAGAAGAAGCGCCGGCUAACUACGUGCCAGCAGCCGCGGUAACACGUAGGGCGCAAGCGUUGUCCGGAAUCAUUGGGCGUAAAGAGCUCGUAGGUGGUUUGUCACGUCUGCUGUGAAAACUCGGGGCUUAACCCCGAGCUUGCAGUGGAUACGGGCAGACUAGAGGUAGGUAGGGGAGAAUGGAAUUCCCGGUGUAGCGGUGAAAUGCGCAGAUAUCGGGAGGAACACCGGUGGCGAAGGCGGUUCUCUGGGCCUACUGACACUGAGGAGCGAAAGCGUGGGGAGCGAACAGGAUUAGAUACCCUUGUAGUC